CAGAGCUUCCUGCGCGAACGGCUGUAAUACCAGGCCUCACCGGUCGCGACCGUGUUGCGCAGCGCCUCGUCGUUCAUGUGCGCGACCAUCAGCACGUCGCCGUUGCCGGCGUCGGUUGCCACGCAGGUCACGAGACCGGACGCGUCGAAUUUUGGCUGAAAGCUCAGCCCUUCCUCGACGUCAUGCGAGUGUGUGUGUGAUGAAGUCACGGCGUUACCUUUUCAAAGGAAGGCGCGGACGCCUUCGUUCGAAGGCUUAUACGCCACGGACCAUGUUGAGAAAACGGGCCUGUUCUUCAGGAUUGUC
Molecule: unclassified non-coding RNA, 306 nt
Filed under: Hevea brasiliensis (rubber tree)
Lineage: Eukaryota; Viridiplantae; Streptophyta; Magnoliopsida; Malpighiales; Euphorbiaceae
Source: RNAcentral